GAAAAAAAAGCUGUCGUUCCUCUGCCGGCAUCCUCACCUACUCGAUUCUGUUCCCCCUUUCUCCUUGAGAUCUAUCUAGAUAGAGUGCACGCGUCGCCGGCGUCCGUUCCUUCUCCUCGCCGGGGUGACGCCGCCGCAACUACUCCGCGGCCGGCCGGACGUCCUCCACGGCAGAUCCAUCCCGACAGGCACGGUUCAGAUCGACGGCCUGCACUGCUACCAGUCAGGAAAAAAAAAUCCUCUCUUCACUGCUAACAGCACGGCCAUGGCAGCAGCUCUGGUCACCGGGCGUGAAGAAGAAUUAAUUCCAGCUUCCCCAUAGUUCAUCCUAUUCUCAGUGUGCAAAUUUAGCUGUUUUCGGUGCAUUCCACGGAGACACAUGGCGGCGAUGGAGGCGGCUCUGGUGAGUGUGGCGACGGGGGUCCUGAAACCUGUUCUGGGGAAGCUGGGCGCUCUGCUCAGCGAAAAGUACAAUCGUUUCAAGCGGGUGCGCAAGGAUAUCAAGUCCCUCACCGAUGAGCUUGCCGCCAUGGAUGCCUUUCUCAUGAAGAUGUCAGAGGAGGAGGAUCCUGAUGUACAAGAUAAAGUUUGGAUGAAUGAGGUGCGUGAGCUGUCCUACGAUAUGGAGGAUUGCAUCGACGAUUUCAUGCAAAGCGUUGAUGACAAGGACCCUGAGCCAGAGGGCUUCAUAGAGAAGAUCAAGCACUCGCUAGGUAAGUUGGGGAAGAUGAAGGCUCGCCGUCGGAUUGCCAAUGAGAUCCAUGAUCUGAAGAAACAGAUCACUGAGGUGGGCGAGAAGAAUGCAAGGUACAAGACUGAGGUGGGCAAGAGGAAUGCAAGGCACAAGACCGUCGAAGCCUUCUCGGAGACCAUCGAUGGAACCAUUGACACUAGAGCUCUUGUCAUCUUUGAUGAUGUGUCAAAGAUUGUCGGAAUGGACGAAUCAAAGACUGAGGUUAUCAAUUUGUUGACUGAAGAGUACGGACGUGGGUCAUCACGACAACUGAAGGUAGUAUCUAUCUUUGGGCCUGGAGGAAUGGGCAAAACAACUCUUGCAAAUCAAGUGUAUCAAGAGCUUAGGAGAGGAUUCGUCUGUCAAGCUUUCUUAUCUGUGUCGCGAAGUCCAAGCAUUAUGAACAUCCUGAGAACCAUAUUCAGUAAAGUUAGCAACCGACCUUAUGCUGGUACUGAAGAAGGGAGUGUGCAGCAACUUGCUAUCAACAUAUACGAGUUCUUACAAGACAAAAGGUACUUUAUCGUUGUUGAUGAUAUAUGGGAUAUGGAUACAUGGGAUGUUAUUAAGUGUGCAUUCCCCAUGACCAGGAUGGGUAGUAGAAUAAUCACCACUACUCGGAUAAACAGUGUGGCAGAGGCAUGUAGUUCAUCAUUCAAUGGCCAUGUUUAUGGUAUAAGGCCUCUUGAUAUUGUGUACUCUAGACAGUUGUUCUAUAGAAGACUAUUCAACUCUGAAGAACAUUGCCCUUCGCACCUUCAAGAAGUUUCUAAUCAAAUCUUGCAAAAAUGCGGUGGCUUGCCUUUGGCGAUCAUUGCAAUUUCUGGUCUGCUGGCUAGCAAACAGAAAACAACAGAGAUAUGGAAUGAAGUGAAAGAUUCAAUUGGGCGUGCACUUGAACGAAAUCGUAGCGUUGAAAAUAUGAUGAAAAUUUUGUCACUUAGUUACUUUGAUCUGCCUUCUCUUCUCAAAACUUGCCUCUUGUGCCUGGGUAUAUUUCCAGAGGAUACUGUUAUCGAGAAGAAAUGUCUUAUAAGGAGAUGGAUUGCUGAAGGGUUAUUUCACAAAGAAGGCAGAUAUACAGUACAUGAGUUGGGGGAGAUGUGUUUCAAUGAGCUUGUCAAUAGGAAUUUGAUCCAACUGGUGAUUGACGAACACCAUAAGCUGAAUACUUGUAGAGUUCAUGACACAAUUCUUGAUUUCAUCAUAUCCAAGUCCAUUGAAGAUAACUUUGUUACUUUGGUUGGGGUUCCCUUUGUACCAGUUAAUGUCAAACGGAAAGUUCGUCGGCUCUCUAUCCAACUUGAUACACAGGGAAAUUGUAUCGUGCAAAAAAGAAGACUGGUAUUGUCCCAUGCCAGAUCACUCAAUAUUUUUGGAAAUUCAGGGGAAAUGUCUCGAUUGGAUGAAUUCAGGCAUUUGCGUAUUGUAGAUUUUGGAUGUUGGGGUUCCCCCUACAAUGGAAACAUCGAACACCAUAUUAAAAAUAUAGGGAGGUUGCUUCAUCUAAGGUACCUGAACCUAAGGGGAACAAGAAUAUCUGAGCUCCCAGGAGAUAUCGGGUGUCUACGUGGCCUAGAGAUGUUAGAUAUAAGAGGCACCUUCGUAUGGGAACUGCCAGCAAGUAUUGUAAAUCUAGGGAAAUUGGUGCAUCUAUUGACUGACUGCAAAGUUACAUUUCCUGAUGGAAUUGGGAAGUUGCAGGCACUGGAGGUGUUGAAAUGGGUCGACUUUUCAUUGCAAAGUCUUGACUACAUGCAACAACUUGGACAGCUAAGGAAUCUGAGAAGGUUGUUCAUUGAUGUCAAUGAACGUGCAAGGAGACUUCCUGUCUCUUCCUUUUGUGACUUUAGCUUGCUGGAGAAGCUUGGUUAUCUGAAAAUAAAAAAUGGGAACACAUUCUUACCAUUGGGAACUGCGUGCCCUGUUGCGCCUAGCCUUCAGAAGCUCGUCUUAAUUGAUUCGCCAGUCCUGCAUGUUCCGGAUUGGAUGCGCGCACUUGUCAACCUUCAAGAGUUACGCAUUGAAGUGAAGGGAAUCACGCAGAGUGACCUUUGCAUUCUCGGAAGCUUACCUGCUCUGCUCAAGCUGGAACUAGAAGGGAGAUACCAUGAUUCUAAAGAUAGAAUGCUGACAGUCAGUGCUGAAGCUGGGUUCCCAUACUUGACCAAGUUCCGAUAUUAUGCAGACCAAGAAGGAAUAAAUCUCAAGUUCGCAGCAGGCUCCAUGCCCAACCUAGAAAUGCUUGUGAUCGUGCUACGUGCGUGUAGAACUGAGGCACUCGCUGAUUGUUUUGAUUUCGGGAUAAAGAAUCUGCCCAGACUCGUUACUGUCGAUUGUACAGUAGAACAAGGCGACUGCAGCAGUUUUAAGGCUGCUAUGAAGAGUGCAGGCAGCACACAUCCCAACCGCCCUACUGUACUCUUUUCGCAGCACAUCGACGAGGACGAGGAUUAACAUACUCAGGUUGUCUGUCUUCUCGUUGUUCCCAUCCCAGCACAAGCUUUUGCGAGGAAGGGGACUGAUGCGCUGCCAGGUCGCUCUUGCAAAGCACACCUGCCCAGUAUGCCCCUACAAGAUUCCAAAAUAAGUGUCGUGGUUUUAGUUCAAAUUACUGUAGAGUGGAGGGAAGAGUGGGUAAGGUUUGAAUUCCCAGGGGGGAAGGAGAUGGACGGCCAGGAUGCGCGGCACACAUCGAUCAUUUUCAUUUAACAAAAAAGCUGAGGCUUGCGUCGUCGGCUAGGUCAGGGCAGGGGUGCUCGCAUGUCUCUCAGCUUUUGGUCCGGGGGGCAGGGAGGGCACGUGGCAUGGCGUCGGCGCCGGCAAGAACACGGCUGUGGUCGGCACCCUGCCGGCAGCUCGGCACUCAGAGUAGAAGGAAAAUGGAUAAGGAUUACAGAAUGAGAGAGGGGAAGCCGGAGGCCAAGAAUAGCAGGUCCUGUAGGUGCAUUACUGAACACCGUGAGAGCCACAACCAUUCUAUGUCUAUGACGAUGGGAGACAAGGUGCACUGGUGGUCACACAAGCACAUUGAUGUGCACACCAAGGAUAUGAUAAACAAGUUGAGGGAAAAUAAUGUUAACUUUCUGGGUUAUCUCAACCCAACUCCCAGAGUAUACUUGGCCACAGAUCUUGGCUGUGCUCAUAAGAAAGAAGUUGCAUGGAGUACUACUAGUUGCGAGCAUGAGCACAGCACCUCUCUCGGCCUGUGUGUGUAGACACCAAUACGCGCGCACACACAGGACAUGACAAGAGCACUAAAGCAGAGCAUAGAAAACAGACUAGGAAAGCAGAGAAGCCCUUUCUUUUUUUCCUUUCCUUUUUGAUUAACUGCUCAAGCACAUAUGAAUGUUUUUUUGAAUUUUCAUAUGAAUGUGCUUAUACAGCAGUCCAGCUA
This is a non-coding RNA of Aegilops tauschii subsp. strangulata, 4130 nucleotides long. The record is from RefSeq and is a predicted model, not a curated record. Lineage: Eukaryota; Viridiplantae; Streptophyta; Magnoliopsida; Poales; Poaceae.